UACGGGGGGGGUAAGCGUUGUUCGGAAUUACUGGGCGUAAAGGGCUCGUAGGCGGCCAACUAAGUCAGACGUGAAAUCCCUCAGCUUAACUGGGGAACUGCGUCUGAUACUGGAUGGCUUGGAUUCGGGAGAGGGAUGCGGAAUUCCAGGUGUAGCGGUGAAAUGCGUAGAUAUCUGGAGGAACACCGGUGGCGAAGGCGGCAUCCUGGACCGAUAUUGACGCUGAGGAGCGAAAGCCAGGGGAGCAAACGGG
RNAcentral lists this ribosomal RNA (253 nucleotides) under uncultured bacterium. Its description in RNAcentral is "partial 16S ribosomal RNA". It matches the Rfam family "Bacterial small subunit ribosomal RNA", at positions 524 to 776 of the family's 1533-position model. The record is from RNAcentral.